CUACGGGUGGCUGCAGUGGGGAAUUUUGCGCAAUGGGCGAAAGCCUGACGCAGCAAUACCGCGUGAGUGAAGAAGGCCUUUGGGUCGUAAAGCUCUUUUCUGGGGGAAGAUAGUGACGGUACCCCAGGAAUAAGCACCGGCUAACUCCGUGCCAGCAGCCGCGGUAAUACGGAGGGUGCAAGCGUUGUUCGGAUUUACUGGGCGUAAAGGGCACGUAGGCGGCACAGCAAGUUAAGGGUGAAAUCCCGGGGCUCAACUCCGGAACUGCUCUUAAAACUGCUGAGCUAGAGAUGGUCAGAGGAGGGUAGAAUUCCUGGUGUAGAGGUGAAAUUCGUAGAUAUCAGGAGGAAUACCGGUGGCGAAGGCGGCCCGCUGGGGCCAUUCUGACGCUAAGGUGCGAAAGCGUGGGGAGCGAACGGGAUUAGAUACCCCGGUAGUC
This 439-nucleotide ribosomal RNA is filed under the name uncultured bacterium. RNAcentral describes it as "partial 16S ribosomal RNA". It matches the Rfam family "Bacterial small subunit ribosomal RNA", at positions 339 to 795 of the family's 1533-position model. The record is from RNAcentral.